CUACGGGGGGCAGCAGUGGGGAAUAUUGGACAAUGGGCGGAAGCCUGAUCCAGCAAUACCGCGUGUGUGAAGAAGGCCCGAGGGUUGUAAAGCACUUUCAAUGGGGAGGAAAAAGCGAAGGUUAAUACCCUUUGAAUUGACAUUACCCAUACAAGAAGCACCGGCUAACUCCGUGCCAGCAGCCGCGGUAAUCCGGAGGUUGCGAGCGUUAAUCGGAAUUACUGGGCGUAAAGCGUGCGUAGGCGGCCUGCCAAGCCAGAUGUGAAAGCCCCGGGCUCAACCUGGGAACGGCAUUUGGAACUGGUGAGCUGGAGUUAGGUAGAGGGGAGUGGAAUUUCAGGUGUAGCGGUGAAAUGCGUAGAUAUCUGAAGGAACACCAGUGGCGAAGGCGGCUCCCUGGACCCAAACUGACGCUGAGGUACGAAAGCGUGGGUAGCAAACAGGAUUAGAUACCCGCGUAGUC
RNAcentral lists this ribosomal RNA (463 nucleotides) under uncultured bacterium. Its description in RNAcentral is "partial 16S ribosomal RNA". It matches the Rfam family "Bacterial small subunit ribosomal RNA", at positions 339 to 795 of the family's 1533-position model. The record is from RNAcentral.